RNAcentral lists this ribosomal RNA (441 nucleotides) under uncultured bacterium. Its description in RNAcentral is "partial 16S ribosomal RNA". It matches the Rfam family "Bacterial small subunit ribosomal RNA", at positions 338 to 795 of the family's 1533-position model. The record is from RNAcentral.
CCUACGGGCGGCAGCAGUGGGGAAUAUUGGGCAAUGGGCGCAAGCCUGACCCAGCAACGCCGCGUGAAGGAAGAAGGCUUUCGGGUUGUAAACUUCUUUUCUCAGGGACGAAUUUUGACGGUACCCGAAGAAUAAGCUCCGGCUAACUACGUGCCAGCAGCCGCGGUAAUACGUAGGGAGCAAGCGUUAUCCGGAUUUACUGGGUGUAAAGGGCGUGUAGGCGGGCAUGCAAGCCAGAAGUGAAAUCUGGGGGCUUAACCCCCAAACUGCUUUUGGAACUGCGUGUCUUGAGUGAUGGAGAGGCAGGCGGAAUGCCCAGUGUAGCGGUGAAAUGCGUAGAUAUUGGGAGGAACACCAGUGGCGAAGGCGGCCUGCUGGACAUUAACUGACGCUGAGGCGCGAAAGCGUGGGGAGCAAACAGGAUUAGAUACCCUUGUAGUC